Molecule: transfer RNA, 84 nt
Filed under: bacterium
Lineage: Bacteria
Description: tRNA-Leu
Rfam family: tRNA
About the family: Transfer RNA (tRNA) molecules are approximately 80 nucleotides in length.
Source: RNAcentral
GCCAAGGUGGCGAAAUUGGUAGACGCACGGGACUCAAAAUCCCGCGGUGGCAACACUAUGUCGGUUCGAGUCCGACCCUUGGUA